GGAGGUGGCAAGCGUUACUCGGAAUCAUUGGGUGUAAAGGGCAAGUAGGCGGUUUGAUAAGUGAGGGGCGAAAUCUCCCGGCUCAAUCGGGAAACUGCCUUUCAAACUAUCAGACUUGAGGCAGGAAGAGGGAAAUGGAAUUCUCGGUGUAAGGGUGAAAUCUGUAGAUAUCGAGAAGAACACCGGCGGCGAAGGCGAUUUCCUGGUCCUGUCCUGACGCUGAAUUGCGAAAGCUAGGGGAGCAAACAGAAUUAGAUACUCUGGUAGUCCUAGCCGUAAACGAUGAGCACUAGGUGUUGGGGCGCAAGUCUCAGUGCCGCAGCUAACGCAUUAAGUGCUCCACCUGGGGACUACGGUCGCAAGGCUA
Molecule: ribosomal RNA, 367 nt
Filed under: uncultured organism
Description: partial 16S ribosomal RNA
Rfam family: Bacterial small subunit ribosomal RNA
Source: RNAcentral